GAUGAACGCUGACAGAAUGCUUAACACAUGCAAGUCGAUGGGGAAGUGGUGCUUGCACCAUGGCAACCAUGGCGGACGGGUGAGUAACGCGUAAGGGACUUACCUGCAGGACUGGGAUAACAGGGGGAAACUCCUGACGAGACCGGAUAAUGUCAUGGAGCUGCAUGGCUUUAUGAUGAAAGGAGACGCCUGCGGAGAGCCUUGCGUCCUAUUAGCUAGUUGGUGAGGUAAUGGCUCACCAAGGCGAAGAUAGGUAGCCGGCCUGAGAGGGUGGACGGCCACAAGGGGACUGAGAUACGGCCCUUACUCCUACGGGAGGCAGCAGUGGGGAAUAUUGGACAAUGGGGGCAACCCUGAUCCAGCAAUUCUGUGUGCACGAAGAAGGUUUUCGGAUUGUAAAGUGCUUUCAGCAGGGAAGAAGUAAGUGACGGUACCUGCAGAAGAAGCGACGGCUAAAUACGUG
Molecule: ribosomal RNA, 463 nt
Filed under: uncultured bacterium
Lineage: Bacteria
Description: partial 16S ribosomal RNA
Rfam family: Bacterial small subunit ribosomal RNA
Source: RNAcentral